Molecule: ribosomal RNA, 429 nt
Filed under: Actinomycetes bacterium
Lineage: Bacteria; Bacillati; Actinomycetota; Actinomycetes
Description: Actinobacteria bacterium partial 16S ribosomal RNA
Rfam family: Bacterial small subunit ribosomal RNA
Source: RNAcentral
UAGGGAAUCUUCCGCAAUGGGCGAAAGCCUGACGGAGCAACGCCGCGUGAGUGAUGAAGGUCUUCGGAUCGUAAAACUCUGUUAUUAGGGAAGAACAAAUGUGUAAGUAACUAUGCACGUCUUGACGGUACCUAAUCAGAAAGCCACGGCUAACUACGUGCCAGCAGCCGCGGUAAUACGUAGGUGGCAAUCGUUAUCCGGAAUUAUUGGGCGUAAAGCGCGCGUAGGCGGUUUUUUAAGUCUGAUGUGAAAGCCCACGGCUCAACCGUGGAGGGUCAUUGGAAACUGGAAAACUUGAGUGCAGGAGAGGAAAGUGGAAUUCCAUGUGUAGCGGUGAAAUGCGCAGAGAUAUGAAGGAACACCAGAGGCGAAGGCGACUUUCUAGUCUGUAACUGACGCUGAUGUGCGAAAGCGUGGGGAUCAAACAGG